Molecule: ribosomal RNA, 403 nt
Filed under: bacterium
Lineage: Bacteria
Description: partial 16S ribosomal RNA
Rfam family: Bacterial small subunit ribosomal RNA
Source: RNAcentral
UGGGGAAUAUUGCACAAUGGGGGAAACCCUGAUGCAGCGACGCCGCGUGAACGAAGAAGGUAUUCGUAUCGUAAAGUUCUGUCCAAUGGGAAGAUAAUGACAGUACCAUAGAAGAAAGCUCCGGCUACAUACGUGCCAGCAGCCGCGGUAAUACGUAUGGAGCGAGCGUUGUCCGGAAUUAUUGGGCGUAAAGGGUACGCAGGCGGUUUAAUAAGUCGAAUGUUAAAGAUCGGGGCUCAACCCCGCAAAGCAUUGGAAACUGAUAAACUUGAGUAGUGGAGAGGAAAGUGGAAUUCCUAGUGUAGUGGUGAAAUACGUAGAUAUUAGGAGGAAUACCAGUAGCGAAGGCGACUUUCUGGACACAAACUGACGCUGAGGUACGAAAGCGUGGGGAGCAAACAGG